GACGGGGUGACUGAGUGGUUAAGGUGAUGGACUGCUAAUCCAUUGGGAUUUCCGCGCGUGGGUUCGAGUCCUUUUCCCGUCG
RNAcentral lists this transfer RNA (82 nucleotides) under Fasciola gigantica. It matches the Rfam family "tRNA". Rfam says of the family: Transfer RNA (tRNA) molecules are approximately 80 nucleotides in length. Their secondary structure includes four short double-helical elements and three loops (D, anti-codon, and T loops). The record is from Rfam by way of RNAcentral. Lineage: Eukaryota; Metazoa; Platyhelminthes; Trematoda; Plagiorchiida; Fasciolidae.